GCGGGUAUAGUUUAAUGGUUAAAUAUCUCCCUUCCAAGGAGAGGUUACGGGUUCGAUUCCCGUUACCCGCU
This 71-nucleotide transfer RNA is filed under the name Candidatus Berkelbacteria bacterium. RNAcentral describes it as "tRNA-Gly". It matches the Rfam family "tRNA". Rfam says of the family: Transfer RNA (tRNA) molecules are approximately 80 nucleotides in length. Their secondary structure includes four short double-helical elements and three loops (D, anti-codon, and T loops). The record is from RNAcentral. Lineage: Bacteria; Candidatus Berkelbacteria.